GCCGGGUGUGGUGGUGCUCGUCUGUAAUCCCAGCUACUUGGGGGAGGCUGAGACAGGAGAAUCGCUUGAACCCAGGAGGCAGAGGUUGCAGUGAGCUGAGAUUGAGCCACUGCACUCCAGCUUGGGUGACAGAGUGAGACUCUGUCUCAA
Molecule: non-coding RNA, 150 nt
Filed under: Pan paniscus (pygmy chimpanzee)
Lineage: Eukaryota; Metazoa; Chordata; Mammalia; Primates; Hominidae
Also listed under: 1 other name
Source: Rfam by way of RNAcentral